CCGAGUACCGAUCGACGAAUUAAUCAAGCCUAACCUAAGCUCGUCGUUCAUUUCGUUGACUCGUUCAAACCUCCAUUAAGGUAACUUGUUGGGCGAAUUUACGACUUGGCAGACGUCUAUCUGUAUGAACCUGAUCGAUAAGUGCUAGACGUAAAAGGGAAGAGAAAGUUCAGACGAUUUGAAUGUGCCAAGCUACAACAAUGCCCACGAUAAAUGGAGAAUAUUGUUCGAGUAUUAGCGUGCCUUUGUGGCCGAGUUAUUGAGACGUUAGAAGGAAGUACUUUAUAAAAUUGGACUGUUUAAUCCGAGGAGCGAGAGUGAGGUGUUAAAUCCGUUAAGUAGUCUUGAUCUUGAUCUUUCUGCGACUGUAACAGUGCCAAUUGUUCGUUUUACAGACAAUCAACGAUAUUCUCUAAGGUUCGAAAUUUCGAUGAUGGGAAGAGAAGCUAAAUUUUCGAUCAAACUGAGAUCCAAGAUACAACCAAAUUUAACCAAGAUGAAACCGAACAUUUAACGUUUGAAAAAAUCGCGCUGGUUUUCUCUAUAGUUAUGAUAAUCGUAUGUUCUUUAUCGUAAAAGAUAGUUAUUUUAUUCCGCCGAAUCUAUUUUAAAUAUACACUUAGGAUUUAUUCCAACGCGAUGAUUCACGCUAUACUAGAAGCUUAGGUCCAGUCAAGCAAUACACUGUAUCGUAAAACAAAGAGAAAUAUAAAAAAUAUCAAGAACCUUUAUGUCCACGAGAA
Molecule: long non-coding RNA, 743 nt
Organism: Bombus huntii
Lineage: Eukaryota; Metazoa; Arthropoda; Insecta; Hymenoptera; Apidae
Exons: 2
Source: RefSeq, a predicted model, not a curated record